Molecule: long non-coding RNA, 280 nt
Organism: Motacilla alba alba
Lineage: Eukaryota; Metazoa; Chordata; Aves; Passeriformes; Motacillidae
Exons: 3
Source: RefSeq, a predicted model, not a curated record
CCAGGCCCCCGUCACCAGCCACCUGAUGGACGUGGUUUGCUGCUUUCGUGAGCCCUGUGGACGUCCGACAGGACUCGGUGAUGAAGCCUUUGCUUUUUCUGUUUAAAGGUGGCACCCGGGUAGCCUUUGGCAAUGGCGGAGGAGUUGCAGCGGACCCUGCGACGACAGCGUGGCCUCCGAGCACGGCGCAAUCGUGCCGCCCGAGGACCCGGGCAUUCUUAGGAGAGCGGAGACUACGAGACAACAGCCCAGCAACAGCAGGAACUUCCCAGAUGGCGAG